CGAAGGUCAGGAUGCGAUAUCGGUACCGUGAUGAAGGUCAGGAUGUGAUAUCGGUACCGCGACGAAGGUCAGGAUGUGAUAUCGGUACCGUGACGAAGGUCAGGAUGUGAUAUCGGUACCGUGAUGAAGGUCAGGAUGUGAUAUCGGUACCGUGAUGAAGGUCAGGAUGCGAUAUCGGUACCGUGACGAAGGUCAGGAUGCGAUAUCGGUACCGCGAUGAAGGUCAGGAUGUGAUAUCGGUACCGUGACGAAGGUCAGGAUGUGAUAUCGGUACCGUGACGAAGGUCAGGAUGUGAUAUCGGUACCGCGAUGAAGGUCAGGAUGUGAUAUCGGUACCGUGACGAAGGUCAGGAUGUGAUAUCGGUACCGUGAUGAAGGUCAGGAUGUGAUAACGGUACCGCGAUAUGGUUAAUAAAAGCGUGUACAUUUGGACGCUGGUGUUGUAUAACGGUCAUAUGAACACCAGGGUGAACACGGUCACGGGUGCGAGUGCCAACCUGUCAGCUCACACAGGACUCGGGGGCAAAGGAACACCAAACACACUGCUUUCAGAAAACACACACACACACACACACACACACACACACACACACACACACACACAGCUGCCCCAUGUGUUUAGCAUACACACAAAAGCCCUGAGAGAGACAGAGAGCGAGAGAGAGAGACGUUUUUCUUCAGAGAAAAAAAGUACUUCAAAGAGCGAGAGAAAAGCGUGAGAGAAAGACAGGGGGAAGAACAAGAGGAACAAAAGAGACGGAGGAUGAAGAACGAAAGAGAGAGAUGACUGAGAACAAGACCGACAAAAACAGAAAAAGGAAAAAGAGACCGAGUGAACGUGAGAGAUGGGGGAAACCGAAGAACAAGAGAGAGACCAGGACGAGAGCGAAAGAAAAAGAGAGAAAGAACUAGAGAGAGCGUAUUGUAGUCUUUUCUCCCUAAUUAUUCAUCUUCAGGAUGUUUAUCACGUCGUGAUCUUUUAUACGUCAAUUACAACCAAUAAAAUAGCAUUCAUUACAUUUGCAUUGGGGUUGAAAACUGUGAUCUGAUUGGUUACAGCGGCACUAUGGGUGGAGCCAGUUAUCUGAUUGGUUACAGUGGCACCGGAGCCUGUGAUCUGAUUGGUUACAGUGGCCAAUCAGAGCCUGUGAUUUGAUUGGUUACAGCGUCACUGUGGGUGGAGCCUGUGAUCUGAUUGGUUACAGUGGCACCGGAGCCUGUGAUCUGAUUGGUUACAGUGGCCAAUCAGAGCCUGUGAUUUGAUUGGUUACAGCGUCACUGUGGGUGGAGCCUGUGAUCUGAUUGGUUACAGUGGCACCGGACUCUGUGAUCUGAUUGGUUACACUGGCACUGUGGGUGGAGCCUGUGAUCUGAUUGGUUACAGUGGCACCGGAGCCUGUGAUCAGAUUGGUUACGGUGUCACCAUGGGUGGAGCCUGUGAUCGGAUUGGUUACAGUGGCACCGUGGGUGGAGCCUGUGGUCUGACAGGUUACGCACAUUUUUGUAGUGGUGGGUCUUUUCUGGUCCUGAAGGCGGGAUCGGCGCGUACCCCUUGUUCUAGUCAAGAGCUGUACUGCUAGCCAGCGAACUCUGACUUUAAAACAAGCAUGAACCUGAGGAACCUUCACUACAGGAAGUGUGGUAUAACUACACCAUCAGCUCCAACCAGGAGUGCAUCUACACACCGAGGCGUGGGGUACUAGCAGAGUGACACCACCAACAGCUCACACGUACCACAGACUUACAGACGGUUAUCUGACGAGGACACGCACAAAUAUUCAUAUAGGAGCUCAUUAAGCUGUCAAAAUACACUCUAGUGCAAACCUUGGGUGUGUAUUUAUAUAAGUCAUUAUUCGACUGAAACUCUACUCUCUCACACACACACAUCUGCUUUCACACACACAACUCGCCUGACCCAGCAAUCCUCACGCACAUUUCAUCCCGUUAGACGAUGAUUUUUUUUUAGCUCGACUUCUAAGUGUCGCAGAUGUGUCCGUGGAGCUCCGGUAAUAAACACUGUGAGGGGAACUUCCAGGCUAGGUGGGGUCGCCUGCUGGAAACAGAAUGACCCAGUUAAUGGCAAAGCGGUGGCUGUAUAACACCAGAGUCAUGAGCACUAGCACGCAGAGCCUCCGGAGUACAAAGGCCUCCACAGAAUAUCGGAAACUUAAUAAGGGCGCGCUCGGCCACGUGUGAACGUCUGAUAACUCGCUCCUGUCUCGGCGCUUUAAUCUGCACAUCCCAGACGCUGCUUCUGUGAGCCAUCAGAAAGUCAAACCUAUGUCAGGGACGUUACCAUAAGCGUAAAUGUAUAUACACAUAUACACACACACACACACACACUCCAAUGCUGAACUAUAUAUAUAUAUAUAUAUAACCGUAUAAAUAUAAAGUCAUCACGACGAGUGAAGAUGGGGAAGAUCACAACGGGGAAGUCGGAACCGUCCGGAAUAUCGACGUUCACGUCGGUUGCGUUGUUGAAUUAAUACGACUCGUAGUGACUACCGUCGCACCGUAGUUUACUCCUAGCAUCGCGAGUUACGUUUUUAAAUAACGGUGAGAAUAUCUCGCUCUAACGUAUUAAAACACAGAGUAGGGAAAGUUAAACGUACGACAUGUUACUACGACAUUAUUACGGUUGCUAGGCAACUAGGUACCAAGGACCAAGACAUGUUGCUACACUGUUACAAUUUAGCGAGCUAGCACAUUAGGGUGUGUUGGUUAAUUAGUGAGAAACGACUCGACUGCGCCGUCUUUGCGCUUAGCCGCGUUAAAGUCACGUAAACGUUAGCAGUAAUCGACGAGUCCUUUGUGCACUGGAGCAAGAACGGUAGUGAAAAUAUUUCGAUAUCUUUUUAACAUCUAAAGAAUAUAAACGUUUACCCUGGCGCAUAGAGCACUGAAAAUAUCGUUCCUAUUGUUCGUGAGAUAUCCCGGCGUAUAAAUCACAGCCCAGCUCCGUCGAAAACAACACCGGAGAUCAAGACAUCGCGUAAACAUGCUAAAAUUAAAUCACCAGACAGUCUGGAGUACACCAGACAGUCACACGGAGUAGACUAGACACCGUGACUGGCUAGCGCUCGUACGAAACGUCGGCCAUUUUAAAAACGAUGCACAGAAUUCGUUUGAAUAUUCCUCAUUCGUUGACGUUUUAAAAAAAAAAUCUUUUAUUUGUCUUGCGAUGCAAAGCGUACGUUAUGACGCAACGAAAAAGUUCAAUGUAGCGUCCAACUUUACGCGUUGUUUAAUUAUUUGAUUACGUUAUCUAGGCAUACGGCUACAUCCUCAGGCUAGUUCAACUAAUAAGCAUGUUAGCUAGCUACUAAAUAAGCUACGGUUUUACGCAAUAAAAACUGUACGGAUUAAACCAAGAAUUAUUAACAUGACACGAUGGGACGUUCCUUAAUCGUUACAAUCCCGUAAUCAUUAAAUCUCUGUUGAACUCCGGACUCUGAUUGGUUCGGAAACGGUGCGGAUUCAUUUCUAAAACGACGUAAUACGUUAUCGUUUCCAUAGUAACAGCUCAUCUGUACGGGACCGGUACGGCGUACGCUCUGCUGUAAAGCAAUUAUUAGUACAGAAAAAUCGCCGAUACGGUGACGGCUGUCUGUAAGGAGGCGUCUAUGUAAUAUUUAUAUAUGGAAGGAGUCUCCAGUGUCAGUCAUAGAGGUAAAGCUGUAACUUGCGAACAAGCUGUGAGGUUUUAUCGGCAUCAUUGACUUCCGAUCGGCCGUUUGUAGUGGCCGUGAGAACAGGAACGAACGCGUUUCCGCGACGUAGCUAUAAACGGAUAAAAAAUGUACGACGGGGUGUUCUUUAAUAAGUUAAAGAUUUAUUCUGUACGAAACACUGCACGUCAGCGGAAAUUCUACCGUCGUAUACGCGUAAUAAACCGCUUCGAGACGGUCAGAGUGACCACCCUGUCGUUGAUUGUUUUCCCUGAACAGUGCGACACAGAGAGUCCCUAAAAGUAAACCGAGGUGUAAUCAGUGUCGUGACGAUGUAGUGUUUAUACUACAGAUCAGAAUCUGGAUCACGGAGCCUAACCGGUCGGGUAAUUGAUGUUAAUUUGCACGCGUGGUUGGAGAUCCCGCUCCGACAAGACAAGGCGGUGCGGCGUUGCCAUGCGUGCACGGCCUGCUCAUCAGCCCCGGCGUGCGUGGUUCCUGCUGCCCCCUACGAAAAGAUCCAGGCUUCUCUCACCUCUCUGUGGGUUAAACAAACACUAAUCUGCUUUAAGACGGUAUCAAAGAUGAUGUCUGACUUUAAUUCACUACUCUGCUCUCAACGUUCAUCAGGGACUGAGAUAUAAAGCCACUUACUUAUUUAAAAUCCCCAGAUUGAACACUUUUCAGAGAUUAAAACAGUGCAUGCAUGUAUCCAAAUAAAUAUAAAAAGAUCAAAUCACGCACUUUAACAAGAAAACUUGCACUUAGAUAAUUGUGUUAUCGAAAUCACAAACUGGAUAAACAUCAGGUCGAUAUCUAUAUUAUACAAGUUAUAUAUUUAUACAGUGAUACACUUUCUCUCUUUGUAAAUUUAACAAGCUUUAAACGUAAUAAAACGUCAACAUUUACGCUUCUUUAAUAAUGAUGAAAUCCAACAUUACAGCUCCUAUCGUUUUUAAAUAAACCACAUACAGAAAUGUAUACUGUACUGUACGCACAGGUUCAAAACAUGCCUUGGCAAACAAUGGCUACACGCUAGUCCAGGUUAGCGUACUGCCCAAGUCCAAAUCACCGCUCGCACCCUACACACGCGCGCUAUCUAGUGUACAUAAACAGGGUUUUAGUGGCUUCACGUGCGCCCUACAUAGUGCACUUACAUAUGAACGUGGACCGGUUUGGACGACUCGUGAACAUAGUGACGACAAAAGUAAAAGUUUAUCACGGCACCCAGGGGCUGACGUGACGCGUUAUGUUUUAGAUUAGAACUUCAGAACUUCACGCUGGUUCAGAGCUUAUUAAACAAGAACUUUAAUGUGGCAUUUUAAGACAGUGACAGAUAGAUAAAUAUAUAUAUAAAGUUACUCACCAAAAGCAAACAUCUUUCCAAGCUGACCGAAUGGUCGCACAACAUCCAAAAACUCAACCUGGUGCUUGUUUGUUUGUUUGUUUACUACAUAUUGUGCUAAAAGGUUAAAAAGAGAAAAAAAAUUCCACACAUACACACACACACACAAACACACACACACACACUCACUCACUCACUCACACACUCACUCACUCACUCACACGUACGCUGCUAUGUUAGUUUAUUGCUGCAUGUUUCCUACUAAACAUUCACACACACACUGGAGUCAUAGCUCUAAUGUGCGGAGUAGAGACUCGGAUCAACCAUUCGCAUCUCCGAGCGGGGGUGUGCUUUUUAAUCAAGAAGUCCGAUUUCUAAAUAAAUCCAACACAAUGUGAUAAUACAAGACAAUAUCAUCGACUAAACUUCCAGUGUCAUACGUUUUGUAUAUAAAUAUUCGAGUUGUAAUACGUACUUGGAAAAAAAUAAUCGCACAGAACAGACACACAACCCUGUCCUAGUGGUACAGUCUCACCGGGAAA
Ictalurus punctatus (channel catfish) is the source of this 5555-nucleotide long non-coding RNA. The record is from Ensembl. NCBI's taxonomy places the organism in Eukaryota, Metazoa, Chordata, Actinopteri, Siluriformes, Ictaluridae.